AUGGCCCCCGUAGCCCCCGCCGCUUCCCCCGCCGCCGCCCCUCCCCCUCCCCCUCCCAGCCCGGCCGGGGAUGAAGGCCCUGACCCGAAUCCCUACCCGCGCCCCUCUCCGACGGUCGUUCUUUUCGCCCCUGCUGCUCCGGCACCGGCGCCGGCCGCUCCGGCCCCUGCUGCUCCGACCCCGGCGCCCGCCGAUCUGGCCCCGGCCGCCCCGCACCUGGCCGCUCCGGCCCCUGCGGCUCCGACCCCGGCGCCCGCCGCUCUGGCCCCGGCCGCCCCGGCUUGGGUGGAGGUUGGGAGACGGCGCCGCCCGAGCCUGGAGAAGGUGGCUGCUCCCCCUCCCAGGAAGGAUGCUGGACUGCCUCGCACUUUCAAGCAGAGGACUUUCGGCCUCUGCUUUCGGUGCUUGGCGUCGGACCACUUCGUCGCGGGUUGCCACGGCCCUGUCCGGUGCUUGGGAUGUGGCCACUCCGGCCAUCGCGAGCGGGAGUGCUUGGCACGGCAUCCUGCCGGUUCAGAACCUUGCCGUCCCCCCGUCGCGCCUACCGGGCCUCGUCAGCGGCCUCCCCCUGCAGCGGAUCGCCUCCCGCCCCACUUCAUCGACCUGGUUGCACUUGGGCUUCGGUGGUUUCUCAUCAAGACAGCCCUGCGACUGGUGGUGUCGUGCCGGCGGCUGACCCCGGCGUGCCUCCUGCUGUUUUGGAGCCCUUGCGGCCUCUCCUUGCAGCUCAGGCGGAGGCGCUCGGCGCUGAGCUACAGGCCUUGUUCGCUGCUCGUCUUGGUGCUGUUCAAGCCUCUUCAAGACUUGGUUGCUGCUGUGGAGAGUUGGACUGCUCAAGUCUCAAGCCUAUGGGAACCUAUGGAAGCUAUCGGGGGCAGCCAAGACCUUGCCAAUGUUGAAUCUGCUCCUCCUGCUGUGGCCGUUGGUGAGGAUUGCAGUGCGCUUGUUGUGGCUGGCUGCUCAGCUGAGUUGAGUGAGAAGGCUCAGUCCGUCGAUGAUCCGCCUGCCUUGGAUAAGGUCAUGGUUGAGGAUGAUCCUCCUGACUUGGCUUCUGUCCUACCCGGGAUGUCGACACUGGAGGAGCCAAAGGUUUCCAGUGCUCCUUGCACCGGGAAGCCUUCAAAGGAGCUGAUCCAGAUGGAUGCAGAUGAGCCUCUUGGGAGAGCCUCCUCUCCGUGGGAGGAGUUCCUCGAAGAGCUUGCUCUCACUGUGUCGAGCUCGCCGCAAGUUUUGCAGGUGGGAGAGGCUGCCCCUUCUCUCUUAGAGCGACGAAGCUGCCGUUUGGACAAGAAAAACAAAGAUUGCGACAUUCCUAUAGCCAAGCGCGCGGAGUAUAGGCGGGCAGAGGCCUUUGGAGAGGUUCCAACACUCAAGAGCAAAGGAAAAGCAUCUGAGGAAGAUCUGAAUGAGAAGAUGCAACACUAUCUGCAGAUGUACAAGAAGGAACACACGCCCAAGGCGAUCGAGGCGGUGCGCGCAUUAGUUCAGGCCAAUGCUUGA
RNAcentral lists this ribosomal RNA (1500 nucleotides) under Triticum aestivum (bread wheat). RNAcentral's name for it is "partial small subunit ribosomal RNA". The record is from RNAcentral. Lineage: Eukaryota; Viridiplantae; Streptophyta; Magnoliopsida; Poales; Poaceae.